This 546-nucleotide ribosomal RNA is filed under the name uncultured fungus. RNAcentral describes it as "eukaryotic LSU rRNA". The stretch from base 187 to 340 matches the Rfam family "5.8S ribosomal RNA". Lineage: Eukaryota; Fungi. The record is from RNAcentral.
GUCGUAACAAGGUCUCCGUAGGUGAACCUGCGGAAGGAUCAUUACCUAGAGUUUGUGGCUUCGGUCUGCUACCUCUUACCCAUGUCUUUUGAGUACCUUCGUUUCCUCGGCGGGUCCGCCCGCCGGUUGGACAACAUUCAAACCCUUUGCAGUUGCAAUCAGCGUCUGAAAAAACUUAAUAGUUACAACUUUCAACAACGGAUCUCUUGGUUCUGGCAUCGAUGAAGAACGCAGCGAAAUGCGAUAAGUAGUGUGAAUUGCAGAAUUCAGUGAAUCAUCGAAUCUUUGAACGCACAUUGCGCCCCUUGGUAUUCCAUGGGGCAUGCCUGUUCGAGCGUCAUUUGUACCUUCAAGCUCUGCUUGGUGUUGGGUGUUUUGUCUCGCCUCCGCGCGCAGACUCGCCUUAAAACAAUUGGCAGCCGGCGUAUUGAUUUCGGAGCGCAGUACAUCUCGCGCUUUGCACUCAUAACGACGACGUCCAAAAGUACAUUUUUACACUCUUGACCUCGGAUCAGGUAGGGAUACCCGCUGAACUUAAGCAUAUCA